This 26-nucleotide non-coding RNA is filed under the name Homo sapiens (human). The record is from RNAcentral. Lineage: Eukaryota; Metazoa; Chordata; Mammalia; Primates; Hominidae.
UAUCAUGUGGUCAGAAGGCAUUCUUU